UUUCGAGGUCGGUUCAUGACCGCGAGGUCGGUAUUCCCCUCUGGUUUUGGUGUGGCGGCGGCUUCUUCUCGCCGAACGAGCUCCUGCCCACUUUAACUCCUCUGCGCAGGCCUACGCCGCUAGCCCUAAACCGAGUCGUCGAUGCGCUUCUCAGCAUCCUCGCCUUGACCUCCUCUUCGAUCUGAAACAUCAGCGACCAGGUGAGUCCAGCCCACCAUGCCCAUAUCUCUCUAUCCAAACCAAAUCAGGCCGUGGCGAACCCUAGCGCGAUAGGCGACCGUGCGGCGAGAUUGAGGCUGACGACGGUGGCCGCAGGAUGUGGAUGAUGACUGCUACUUUCAUGGAUAGAAAGAUUGUCCAAAUCGCCAGAGGAUGUAUAGUUUGGAGUGGACAUCCAUUACUCUGAACCCAAUGGCUUUCAAAGGCGGAAGAGUUUGGGGUGGAGGAAUAUAGAGAGGGUAUCAACAUUCAUAGAAGAGGAGCACAAGGUGGCGGCGUGGCAGCGUGGGUCGUCCUCUAUUUUGUCCGUGGUGUGUCGCGGUCAGCAUCAUACUCAAUGAUCUUUCGGUGGUAUGGUGCCAUCGACGGGCAGCGACACGCUUCUGGUAUCUGGCUACCCUAGAAUAGGUGGAGGUCAUGGGCGGUGGAGUGUCACCAAGAGCUCGAGCACAGCAGAGUCAGACAUGAGAUAGCGGAGAUAGAGGUCGGUGUCUAAGGUGAGCUCGUGGCAGCCUGGAGCAUGUAUUAUCACACUUUUUUUUUGAGAAAAUACGGCACUUUAUUAAUCAUAACAAAUCAUUACACAGAGUUUUCCGGAUACAUUCCGGAGCAGAAAGUCUAAAAGUACAAGAGACAAAACGCUCAGCUGAGCGAGCUAAAACGUGUGCCGCUUCAUUACAUUGUCACACUUAGAAAGUCUAUCUUCACUUGAUAAGUUUCUAUUGUGAGAAGAAUAAUACUUGGUUACAUCGUUUAUAAUCUAUAAAAAAUACUACUACUACUUGUUCCUAUGAAAUUACCCAUAUUUAUGUAUUAGAAAAAUACUACAGAGCUUCUGAGAGAGGCCCUAACUAUCGUGGAUCGCUGACCAUCUGUUGAGCAUAACUCUGAAAAUUCUUGAGAGGUAUAUCCCUUCUUUCGUUCCUGCAAUCUACAUUUUGAAGAGCAUACAUUCAGACCUUGUUUGUCCCAUUCACAUCAGGACACCUCCAUAAGGGUGUCUUUGGUGAUUACAUUUGAUUGUGUAUAAGACAUUCCAAUUAGUAAAAGGUAAGUUAGUACAAACAUAUAAAUGAAUUCAGCUGGGCAACCCCCAUUGUCCAUAAGUUGUUCAUUAUCUUGACGAAAAAGUUAACAUGUCCUGUUAGAUAUCAAGGUUGUUAUGGCUAGAAAAUCUGAAGUGGUCACUGAGAUUUCAAAUAGAUAAUUUCAUAUAGCACAUUGUUUCCCUUUGUAUCGAUGAUCUUGCAAAUGAGUGUAUAUCUUAUAAUACUAUUUCCAUUCCCGCACCAUAAAUGCUGUAAAGUGACCAUGCUUAUCCAGUUAUCCUCCCGGAUUGAUAGUGGGAAUGUUAUUUUUCAUGGAGUAAAAUGACAAAAUACUUUAAGGCCAUGGCGCCCAUGGAGUUUUCAUCACCUACGACUAGAUGUAUUACAAGUAAUGUAGGUACUUUGGUGUAGAAAUUAGUCAUCACCCUCGAUGCCUUAUUUUACCAAGUCAUAGCAUUUUUUUUUGUUAUGUACAUCCUGCAUAGAUAUCUAGCACAUCAGAGAUCCUUAGAACCAUUACAAAUGCAAUGUCCAUUCCACACUUUCAUUGCUUAUGAAAACUAAUAGUGCAAACCAUCUUAUUGUUGCUUCUUCCUAGGAUAAAUCUUUGUCACAAGGAUACUUAUAUAUAUACCUGGAAUCUGUGAUAGAUGAUUGAUGUAAGCUGCCACUAUAGUAGCAAUGCAAUAAAAGGGACAUAAUUCAUGUUCUUAAUAUUGUUGAUAUUUACUCAUGAUUUAUUGUUUUUUUUCUUGAGACCACAAACCACAUUGUUGAAAGAAGGAACUCCAUUCGCUGCUAAGGACCAAAUCAUACAUAUCAGAUCCAUUUACUCGCUGGAAAGAAAUUGACAAGGGGAUCAGCUUACACGUAAUUGGAAGUAUGUGUCAUAGGAAGUAGUGGUCUAACUCUCGGAUCAACAGGAUUAUUGCUGUCAAAGAAAAUUGCAUAUGCAUAUAUGUUUUUAGCUCACAAUCAUACUUAAGAUACAUUGAUGUUGGCGUCUGAUUUAGCAUAUCCUGUAUCAGACCAUGCCUUUUGCUUCCAUUACAUAUGUCCGUUGAUUGCAGGUUUUUAUAAAGUGGUUAGACAUUCAAAGCCUUUGUUCAGUAUAGAUAUUAUUUGUCUAAAUACUUUCGAACUUACAUAUUCACAGCUGUUGUUCACCAUACAUAUUAUUCACAAUAUCGGAGGUGCAAAGUUGAGCCAAGGCAUUGACUUCUCAUAUGCAUAUGUGUGCCAUAGAUGUCAGAUUGUGACACUGUUCUGAUGAAGGUCUCGAUGGUCUAUUUUGUGUGUUUUAGUCACAUGGGGUUCCUGCAUGAUCGCCAUGGGCACGGUAUUGAGCUUGGUUGGAGCAGCAAGAUCUGUUGUUGCCACUUACUUCUAUUGCAAUUAUUUGUGUACCUGACUUCAUGAAACUAAUGUGAAAAUCAGCUAUCAGCCAGAACACUUCUUUUCCAGCAGUACGAGAACCCAGGAGAUAGUUAAGUUGAUGAUUUUGUUUUUUAUUUUCAGAUUCGUGGUCAUUGUUAAUUUAUUAUGGUUUGGUCAUCUGAGAAUAGGGAGGGGCAUGCCUUCCACAACAGUCCAUAGUCCAGAUUAUAAGUAUAGACGUUUAAACAUCAGAGAUCCUAAUUGGCUCAUUUUUAUACCACAAUUGUCACUAUAUAUCUCUUAAACAAUUGUGCUCUAUACCAUAAUUGUCAAUGUAUCA
Long non-coding RNA from Lolium perenne, 2985 nucleotides. RefSeq lists it as uncharacterized. The record is from RefSeq and is a predicted model, not a curated record. Lineage: Eukaryota; Viridiplantae; Streptophyta; Magnoliopsida; Poales; Poaceae.